GACGAACGCUGGCGGCGUGCUUAACACAUGCAAGUCGAACGGAAAGGCCCUGCUUUUGUGGGGUGCUCGAGUGGCGAACGGGUGAGUAACACUUGAGUAACCUGCCCUUGACUUUGGGAUAACUUCAGGAAACUGGGGCUAAUACCGGAUAGGAGCUCCUGCUGCAUGGUGGGGGUUGGAAAGUUUCGGCGGUUGGGGAUGGACUCGCGGCUUAUCAGCUUGUUGGUGGGGUAGUGGCUUACCAAGGCUUUGACGGGUAGCCGGCCUGAGAGGGUGACCGGCCACAUUGGGACUGAGAUACGGCCCAGACUACUACGGGAGGCAGCAGUGGGGAAUAUUGCACAAUGGGCGGAAGCCUGAUGCAGCAACGCCGCGUGCGGGAUGACGGCCUUCGGGUUGUAAACCGCUUUCGCCUGUGACGAAGCGUGAGUGACGGUAAUGGGUAAAGAAGCACCGGCUAACUACGUG
This 468-nucleotide ribosomal RNA is filed under the name uncultured bacterium. Its description in RNAcentral is "partial 16S ribosomal RNA". It matches the Rfam family "Bacterial small subunit ribosomal RNA", at positions 28 to 507 of the family's 1533-position model. The record is from RNAcentral.